GGUGGUGGUGGAGAAAAACCCGAGAAUUGCGCAUGCGUAUUGCCCAGUCGGCGUCUGACCUCGGAGGAUUCCGUAGAGGGUGGGAGAAGAUGGCGGCGGCAAUACUGGAACGUUCAGGUGCGUUAUGGUUGCAGAAUCUGAGGGGGAAGCUGGCGUUGGGGUUUCUUUCAGCUCACAACAUUUUACCCCAAUCACAUAUCCACACAAGUACGUCUCUUGAAAUAUCUCGAAAAUGGGAGAAGAAGAAUAAAAUUGUUUAUCCUCCACAAUUGCCUGGAGAACCUCGGAGACCAGCUGAAAUCUACCAUUGUCGAAGACAGAUAAAGUACAGCAAAGACAAGAUGUGGUAUUUGGCAAAAUUGAUACGAGGAAUGUCCAUUGACCAGGCUCUGGCUCAAUUGGAAUUCAGUGACAAAAAAGGGGCCCAAAUAAUUAAAGAGGUUCUCUUAGAAGCACAAGAUAUGGCAGUGAGAGACCACAAUGUGGAAUUCAGAUCCAAUUUGUAUGUAGGAAAAAGAGGUGUGUACUGCAAGAAGAUGAAGUAUCUGACCAUGACAUUCAGGCAUCUUAUCCCCGUAUUUGCCAAACUUCUCUGAUAAGAAUCACUUGAGGUUCUUAUUGAAAAUACAGAUUCCCAGGCCUCACCACAGACUCACUGGAUCUGAAACCCCAGGAGAGAGGCCUGGCGGAGUCCACUUCAGGGCGCGGCCAGUACCUGAAACGCAUCCGAUACCAUGGCAGAGGUCGUUUUGGGAUUAUGGAGAAGGUUUUUUGCCAUUAUUUUGUGAAGUUGGUGGAAGGCCCCCCACCUCCACCGGAGGCACC
This is an RNA transcript of Camelus dromedarius (Arabian camel), 825 nucleotides long. It is a transcript of the gene named mitochondrial ribosomal protein L22, with no coding region annotated. Lineage: Eukaryota; Metazoa; Chordata; Mammalia; Artiodactyla; Camelidae. The record is from RefSeq and is a predicted model, not a curated record. The transcript has 8 exons.